AUCCCACCGAGGCCACCAUAGACCAGCCAGCCCUCAGCGUACAUGCCAGCUAAUUACAGAUGCAGGAGCAAACCCCUGGCCCAUACAUCAAAACAUACAGUAAACAGAGAAAAAAAAGGGUCUCAGGUGAGAUGAUGUAUGGGAAUGCUCAGCAUACAGAAUGAAUGGAUAAGAGGCCUGAAAACAUAAUCCUGUAAACAACCAUAUUGAAAGAGAAGACAGAAGACAUCAAACAGAUGGAGUUUCGCUCUUGUUGCCCAGGCUGGAGUGCAACGGCACGAUCUCAGCUCACCGCAACCUCCACCUCCCAAGUUCAAGCAAUUCUCCUGCCUCAGCCUCCUGAGUAGCUGGAAUUACAGGAUUUUGGAAGCAUUGCCUUCUACAGAAUCCACAGUAGUCCGAAGUUCUUCUACGGUUUUUGUCAAACUUUGAUUUUCCAUCUCUAGCUUCAAUAAUCUACUUGAUGUCAACUCAUUCACCUCAUGGCCCAGGGAUUUCUGGGGUGCUAUAAUAUUGAAAAAUACACCAUUGUAUUUACUCUUUACUGUUUUUACUAUGUUUACUCUUUACUAUUUAAAAAGUUGAGUGUAUAUGCAUUGCAUCAUCUGAUCCUUAACUUU
This 620-nucleotide non-coding RNA is filed under the name Pan troglodytes (chimpanzee). Lineage: Eukaryota; Metazoa; Chordata; Mammalia; Primates; Hominidae. The record is from RNAcentral.